This 232-nucleotide unclassified non-coding RNA is filed under the name plant metagenome. RNAcentral's name for it is "partial contains small subunit ribosomal RNA, internal transcribed spacer 1, and 5.8S ribosomal RNA". The record is from RNAcentral.
UAUCCGUAGGUGAACCUGCGGAGGGAUCAUUACAGAGUUCAUGCCCUUCCGGGUAGAUCUCCCACCCUGUGUUAUCGUCACCUUGGUUGCUUUGGCGGGCCGCCCAGGCCUUGGUCCGGCUACCGACUCCGGAUGGUACGCGCCCGCCAGAGGACCCUAAACUCUUGAAUAUCAGUGUCGUCUGAGUACUAUGUAAUAGUUAAAACUUUCAACAACGGAUCUCUUGGUUCUG